This 526-nucleotide ribosomal RNA is filed under the name Charopus concolor. RNAcentral's name for it is "partial 16S ribosomal RNA". The stretch from base 391 to 526 matches the Rfam family "Bacterial large subunit ribosomal RNA", at positions 2473 to 2610 of the family's 2925-position model. Lineage: Eukaryota; Metazoa; Arthropoda; Insecta; Coleoptera; Melyridae. The record is from RNAcentral.
CAUGUCCUUUUGAUUAUAAUUUAAGGUCUAAUCUGCCCACUGAAAAUUUAAAUGGCCGCAGUAUUUUGACUGUGCUAAGGUAGCAUAAUCAUUAGUUUUUUAAUUGAAAGCUGGAAUGAACGAUUGGAUGAAAUAAAAACUGUCUCAAUUUUAUUAUUUUAGAAUUUUAUUUUUAAGUUAAAAAGCUUAAAUUUUAUUAAAAGACGAGAAGACCCUAUAGAGUUUUAUAUAAAUAAAUAAAUUUAAAUUAUUAAAUAAAAAAUUUUGUUUAUUUUUUUAUAUUUUGUUGGGGUGACAAAAAAAAUUAAUGAACUUUUUUUUUAUUAAAACAUUUAUAAAUGAUAAAUUGAUCCAUAUUACUUUAUGAUUAUAAGAUUUAAUUACCUUAGGGAUAACAGCGUAAUUUUUUUUAAGAGUUCUUAUCGAAAAAAAGAUUGCGACCUCGAUGUUGGAUUAAAGUUUAAUUUUGGUGUAGUAGCUAAAAAUUUAAGUCUGUUCGACUUUUAAAACUUUACAUGAUCUGAGU